This 48-nucleotide long non-coding RNA is filed under the name Vicia faba (fava bean). Lineage: Eukaryota; Viridiplantae; Streptophyta; Magnoliopsida; Fabales; Fabaceae. The record is from RNAcentral.
AUGAUGGAUUAUUUCAUGAGAGAGAAGAAACCACAGGAUUUCUUCUAG